ACCGGGUACGUUCCUCGGAUCGACAGGUCUGGGGAGGAAAGGUGGCGCAAGCUGCCGCUCUUGGAGGGGCUCGCGGCCUAUCAGCUAGUUGGCGGGGUAACGGCCCACCAAGGCGAUGACGGGUAGCUGGUCUGAGAGGACGACCAGUCACACGGGGACUGAGACACGGCCCCGACUCCUACGGGAGGCAGCAGUGGGGAAUUUUCCGCAAUGGGCGAAAGCCUGACGGAGUGACGCCGCGUGUGGGACGAAGGCCUUCGGGUCGUAAACCACUGUCAGUGGGAAAGAAGGGUGUCGGCGUUAAUACCGCCGGCAUUUGACGGUACCUGCAGAGGAAGCCCCGGCUAACUCUGUGCCAGCAGCCGCGGUAAGACAGAGGGGGCAAGCGUUGCUCGGAAUUACUGGGCGUAAAGGGCGUAUAGGCGGGAUGGCAAGUCGGU
RNAcentral lists this ribosomal RNA (440 nucleotides) under uncultured bacterium. RNAcentral's name for it is "bacterial SSU rRNA". It matches the Rfam family "Bacterial small subunit ribosomal RNA", at positions 168 to 592 of the family's 1533-position model. The record is from RNAcentral.